This is a long non-coding RNA of Trifolium pratense (red clover), 1013 nucleotides long. RefSeq lists it as uncharacterized. NCBI's taxonomy places the organism in Eukaryota, Viridiplantae, Streptophyta, Magnoliopsida, Fabales, Fabaceae. The record is from RefSeq and is a predicted model, not a curated record. The transcript has 3 exons.
GCCAUAUAAGUUCCAAGAUGAGAAGAACAACUCUCUUUCUCAAAACACUCUCACGCCCAACCUCCCUUUCUCACCAUAACCACAAACUUCAUACUCCAUUAAUCCAUCAAAUUUCUUAAUGCAUGUAUGAAUUCUUCUUAACCCAUCAUCAAUUAAACUCAAUAGAAGCAAAAACCAACCCUAUCUUCCUCUCCUUCCCACUCUUAGCCACAAACCCCUUUCUUCCUCACAAACUCAUACCUUCCACCAUUUGCACGAAUUUCUUAUGGGUAGCUUGUAGAUGUUGGAAACCAAUGUAAUGUAAGCAUUCCUAAACUUUCCCCUCUUCUGUGUUGAUUUGACCGAUUUUGAUGGUUAGAGAAUGAGAUAGUUAUUAUCCGAUUUCCCUUGAAAGUGAAGGUUGAAAGAAGUCAUGUUUCACUGUUAGUUUGGAAUUUCAGCAAAGAUGUGGACUUGUAACAGUGGAGACUAAAGAUUGAAGCUUGGAAGAAAUUGAAGAGAAUGGAAAAGAAAGAAAUUGGAAGGAUUUGGGUUAAACCCGUAUUCUGGACAGACCUCCACUAAAAAGUUUCAUGGAUUUCUAAGCAGUAAUGAAUUCGGAAGAAGCAUUUGAAGUUCGAGGUCUGAUGCAGAACUUUGGGCUACGGGUUUAGAGUGUUGUGGCUGCAAAUUCUGUUUUUCAACUAGCUCCGAAUAUGUUGUUAGCACGAUUCAAACGUCAUGUUCAGGUAACAGGUUGAGCAUGAUAAAUGGAUUUUCAAGAGGAUUGAAGUAAAGACGCUGUUUAUGGAAACUUCGUAGCAUUCACCUGUUAAAUUAUUAUAGAAGAUGAUUCAAGGCUUGAUCCUGAUUGUUAUGCAUUCUAUUUCGCUCUGAUGUAUAAUAUAUUAUAGGUUGUACAUUAUGACAGUUUAUUCAGGAUUUUGUCAAGAUUAUGUAUUGUCUGGCAAAUUAUCUUGUAAUUGUACUAUGUCGGACAAAAGUUAUUCUGUAAUAUUAAUGUUUCCCGAUUC